RNA transcript from Corythoichthys intestinalis (scribbled pipefish), 9946 nucleotides. RefSeq lists it as uncharacterized. Lineage: Eukaryota; Metazoa; Chordata; Actinopteri; Syngnathiformes; Syngnathidae. The transcript is spliced from 2 exons. The record is from RefSeq and is a predicted model, not a curated record.
AUGUUCAGAAUGACCACGUGAAAAAAAUGGCAGCCAACCAAGAUAGUGAAUCGAAACAAUAUUGGAGCACUAUGCCACCUAAUGCAGUGGUUCUCAUUCUCAAUAUUAUCUAGUGAAACACAAAAAAUAUCUGGCUCAUUGGUACCUAAUAAGGGCCAACAUUAACUCAUUGGCUGCCACGUGACGGCAUUACAGUGGUAUGAAAAAGAAUCUGAACCUUUUGGAAUUUCUCACAUUUCUGCAUAAAAUCAUCAAAUGUGAUCUGAUCUUUGUCAAAAGCACACAGAUGAAAAAACAGUGUCUGCUUUAACUAAAACCACCCAAACAUUUAUAGGUUUUCAUAUUUUAAUGAGGAUUAUAUGCAAACAAUGACAGAAGAGGGAAAAUAAAUAAGUAAGUUUUUUUUUUUUUUUUUUUUUGCCGUAUUGCUGUAAGGCAAGGCAAAUUUAUUUUUAUAUCACAAUUCAACACAAGGCAAUUCAAAGUGUUUUACAUCACAUGAAGAUCAUAAAAAUCACAUUUAAAUCAGUACAACGUAAAAACCAGGACAAUCAAAAUAGGAAAUAAAAUAAUACAAAAAAAUUGCAUUUAAUCACAAAUAGAAUAAAAAUAAAUAAAAAUAAAACAAAAACUACUAAAUAAUAAUUGAAAUCAGCAAUGGAGAUAAGCACAAGAAGAAUAGAAAGCAAGUAGAUUGAGAUAUAUAGACCAGGGGUCAUGAAUUAAAAAUCUUCUGGGUCCGAAAUGAAAAAAUUACAACAAUCUCGGGUCCGGAAAUAUUUUUAAUGCUUCUUUUUUUCCCAAAAAUACAAACGUAUCCUUACGUGGCCAUGCUGAUAAUUACAACAUUCAAAAAUGUAAAAAAAAAUAUAUAAAAAAUAAAUUUAUAGUAAGUAAUAAAUAAUAUUUAAUGAUAAUUAAUUAGUAAUAAAUAAUAAAGCGAUCAUAUUGAGCCCUUAAUUCCGCUAUUUCUUGAGAACAGAUGGCAGAGUUCACAGGGAAACUUUGUGAAGAAGCUGUGUGCUUCGUCUCAUAGUGCCUUUUCAAAUUGCUGCUUUAUACAAGCGCUACCAUUGUUCGGCCAUUCCCUAUUGAAAAAACGUCUACACAACGCUCAGCGCGCUUGCGCAAGCAUCCGCACGCAUGCGCACAUCGGUCAGAAGCGGCGAGUACUCACAAUUUUUGUUUUUAUUUAGUUUUUUUAGAACCUUUUUGUGAUGGUUUGUUCAAUUGUAUUUGUCAAAUAAUGACCUCUGGUGGCGGCUUUGGGUGUAGUUGAAUUCCUGCCUUUCUUUUCCUAUGAAGCAGACGUGUCUAACAAUGCUAAAGGACAGCUACGUUCUGGUUCGACCCACAUGAGGCUGUAAGUUGUUUCAAUGAAUGUAUGUUGGUGUGUGUAUUUGUCGUUAAGCGGGGAGAUAUUGUUUGUAUAGUUAUAUUUAGCGUUUUACGAGGAGAGAAGGGAGAACACGUUAGCAUUUUUAGCAUCAAAGCUAGCGGACUUUUGUAUACAAAUGGUGCAGAUUUAAUUUACUAAAUGUAUAUAUUGAUUGAAUGGAAGGGACAUUUGGCGACUUUGUUUUGUGUGAAAUAUUUAGUAUUGAUAUGUACGUCAUUUUCAACAUUUUUGUAUGUGUGUUUUCAGUUUUACGAAUUCAUCAAGAGUGAGGAAGUAAAGACUUCAAAAUCCACUUUUGCCUCGUUGUGCUGUCUGUCUAGCUAAACAGGCUCACGUUUAGUGAGGACAGAACAGUAAAAAGCCUCAUUAUCAACAGUUGGAGCCAGAAGCUGUUACUCCAAGCAUAAAGACAUAAUGUUGAAGCAAGUGGACGCUCAAUCGCAAAGUCAGCAGAGAAGCUGCUCACCAAGUAGUCAAGGUGAGUUAUGGGAAACAAGGUCUCGUUGCUCCAGAUCCUCAAAGCAGUCUACAAGGUCAUCAGCAAGCGUUGCAGCCCUCAAAGCGCGAGCCAAAGCUGGGGCUGCACAAGCGCAGUUGGCUUUUGCAGAAGAGGAAGCUGAAGCCAUGAAGCAACAGGCUCAAAUCCAAGCUCAACUUCAUGUACUGAAGGUGAAGAAGGAGGCAGCAGCUGCAUCAGCAGAAGCGGACAUCCUGGAAGCAGCAAUUCAGCAGGAAGAAGCACAACCACUUUGUCAUCCAUCAUCCAUCGACUUUGUGGACUCUAAACAAAAGGUUCAAAAUUAUAUCGACAGUCAAGUAAUCCAGCCAGUACAACACCCAGUCCCAUGCUGGAACCCCUUCCACCAAAUUGACAACUCAAGCAUUCAACCUCAACCAUUACCUCAACAAAAUUCCCACACUUUCAACUGCAUAUCAUCACCUAUACCUGGCGCUACAUCUCCAGCUCCAAUUCACCAGUAUCAGCCCCUCAGUUCAUCUCUUCCCCACCCUCAGCAGAAAACAAAUGUAAGUGAUGUAGCAAAAUAUCUGAUGAGACGUGAACUUGUAACAGGCACCAUGCAGAGAUUCGACGAUGAUCCACAAAAUUAUCGCAGCUGGAAAUCAUCUUUUGUGAACAUCACUAAAGACCUAGCUCUGUCAGACAAAGAAGAGCUAGAUCUUCUACUCAAAUGGCUUGGGCCCAAGUCAACUGAACAAGCAAAGAGAAUCAGUGCAGCUCAAGUCAAUAACACAACUUCUGCGCUCAAAAUGGUUUGGCAGCGACUAGAAGAAACGUUUGGUGCACCUGAGGUAAUUGAGCAUGCCCUCUUUAAGAAAAUUGAGGACUUUCCUAGAAUUGCGUCUAGAGAAAAUACUAAGCUAAGAGAGCUGGGGGAUCUCUUAAUGGAACUUGAACUUACAAAAGCAGAAGGUCAUUCUCCAGGGUUAGCCUUUCUAGACACCGCCAGGGGUGUCAAUCCCAUUUUGGAGAAGUUGCCAUAUUCACUACAAGAAAAGUGGAUUUCACAUGCAUCUAAAUACAAACUAGAUCAUGGUGUCAUAUUUCCACCAUUUUCAGUCUGUUCUAGAUUUGUGCAAGAGCAAGCACGCAUAAGAAAUGACCCAAGUUUUUCAUUUCUUUCAGCAACUCAGUUCAAGUUUGAUAAACAAGUUAAAAGCAGCACUCGCCCAAUGAUAUCCGUGAAAAAGACUGAAAUUGCUGUAGACACUGAGUUAAAAGAGGUAUGUGAAGAGCCAGACAAACAAUGUCCGUUGCAUAACAAGCCACACCCCCUCAGAAGAUGUCGCACUUUUCUCACCAAGCCUCUUGAUGAGAGAAAGGCGUACCUGAAAGAGAAAGGCAUAUGCUUCAGGUGCUGUGCGUCAACCAAACACCAAGCGAAAGACUGUACUAUUAAAGUCACAUGCAAAGAAUGUCAGAGUGAAAGACACAAUACAGCUCUUCAUCCAGGUCCUCCUUCAACCGACAUCAAACCGUCUUCAGAGGCGCGUCAGCACGGCGGGGAGACCGAGUCAAGUCUACAACCCGUUUCCGCUACCACAAUGUGCACCGAGGUAUGUGGGGAACAACGUAGUCCUAGAUCUUGUGCGAAGAUAUGUUUAGCUAAAGUUUAUCCAGCAGGCCAACGAGAAAAGGCUAUAAACUUGUAUGCUGUCAUGGACGAACAAAGUAACCAAUCCCUUGCUCGUUCAGACUUUUUUGACAUCUUCAGAGUAUACGGAAGCAGAGAGAUUUAUACUCUGAAGACAUGUUCAGGUGUCAUGGAAGUGAGCGGGAGGAAAGCCAAAGACUUUAUUAUUGAGUCAAUAGAUGGUCGUGUAAAAGUGCCACUUCCUCCUAUGCUAGAAUGUGACAUGAUCCCAGAAGAUCGUUCUGAGAUACCUGCACCAGAAGUCACACAACACCAUCCACAUUUAAAGGCACUCUCACACAAAAUCAGUCCUGUAGAUCCAAACGCACAGAUCCUCUUGCUGCUCGGUAGAGACAUCCUGAGGUUGCACAAAGUGAGAGAGCAAUGUAAUGGUCCCAGUAAUGCACCAUUCGCGCAGCGCCUUGACCUAGGCUGGGUCAUCGUGGGUGAUGUAUGUGUAAGUGGAGUGCACAAACCAGUCUCUAUUACAGCAUACAAAACAAACACCUUGUUCAAUGGACGGCCAUCAUAUCUCGAUGCCUGCACAAAUGUCCUACAAGUCAAAGAAAAAAAGGUAACCAACGUAAAAGAUGACAUGCACAGCUUCACAGACACUUAUCAAGUAAAACGAUCAGACAAUCUUGGGGAUACAAUCUUCGUCAAAGGAGAGGAUGAUGAAAUGUUGGCACCGUCACAACAAGAUGCAGAAUUUCUCAAAAUAAUGCAAAAUGAAAUGUACCAGGAUGAGACAAACAAUUGGGUUGCACCGCUUCCAUUUGUUACACCCAGACAGCGUCUACCAAACAACAGACAACAAGCUUUAAAGAGACUUUACACACUCAAACGUAGUCUUGACAAAAAGCCUGAAACAAGAGAGCACUUUGUACAGUUCAUGCAAAAAAUCUUAAACAACCAGCAAGCAGAAACCGCACCUCCCUUGCAACCUGAGGAAGAGUGCUGGUACCUCCCAAUGUUCGGGGUGUACCACCCUCAAAAACCCCAUCAAAUUCGUGUGGUUUUUGAUUCAAGUGCCAAACAUGAGGGUGUAGCGUUGAAUGAUGUCCUCUUAAGCGGCCCAGAUCUUAACAAUGCGUUACUAGGAGUGCUCAUCAGAUUCCGUAAGGAGCCUAUUGCAGUAACGGCAGAUGUGGAACAAAUGUUCUACUGCUUCAAAGUGCGAGAAGAUCAUCGCAAUUUCCUGCGAUUCCUUUGGCACAAGGACAAUGACGUCGCAAAGGAAAUUAUUGAGUACCGCAUGAAAGUGCAUGUGUUUGGAAAUCGUCCGUCUCCCUCUGUUGCAAUCUACGGAUUACGCAAAGCUGCUGGGGUAGGAGAAACGGAAUAUGGCAAAGAAGCAUCACAGUUUGUUAUCAGAAAUUUUUAUGUGGACGAUGGUCUGGUCUCACUCCCGACAGAACUUGAAGCGAUCACGCUCCUGCAAAACACUCAGAAAAUGUUGGCUGUGUCAAACUUGCACCUACAUAAAUUCGCUUCUAAUAGCAGCAAAGUCAUGGAGGCGUUUCCAACAAGCGACUUGGCAAAAGACAUUAAAAGCCUAAACCUAGACAAUGACCCGUUGCCUGUUCAGAGAAGUUUAGGCAUCAGCUGGAGUCUUGAAUCUGACACUUUCACCUUCCACGUGAGCAAAGAGAAAAAACCCUUCACCAAAAGAGGCAUACUAUCCACUGUCAAUAGUUUGUAUGACCCCUUGGGGUUUGUUUCGCCUAUAACUGUACAGGGAAAAGCACUCAUCCGAGAAUUCACCUUGGAACCAUGCGACUGGGAUGACCCCUUGCCUGCAAACAAAGAGAGAUUGUGGACUGCAUGGAAGGAUUCACUUCUCGAGGUAGAGAACAUACACAUUCCUAGGUCGUAUGUACCACAGUCUAUGUCCUCAACACAGCACAGAGAACUUUGUGUUUUCAGCGAUGCUUCAUCUACAGCAAUAGCAGCAGUUGCUUACAUUCAAGUUAAAAAUGACCAUGGACAGUAUUUCAGUGGAUUUGUCAUGGGAAAAUCCAAACUAGCACCGAGACCAGCGCACACAAUCCCACGUUUAGAACUGUGCGCAGCUGUCCUCGCUGUAGAAAUGGCUGAGCUCAUAUGCCAAGAAAUCGACAUUAAGCUCCAUGAUGUCAGGUUCUACACUGACAGUAAGAUUGUGCUAGGUUACAUCUAUAACAUCUCAAGAAGGUUUUAUGUCUAUGUAUCAAACAGAGUCUCAAGAAUCAGAAAGUCAUCUGUACCAUCGCAGUGGCAUCAUGUUUCAUCGGAAAACAACCCGGCAGACAUUGCCACACGUCCAAUAGCAGCGCUAUUGCUACCACAAACCUACUGGUUCACAGGCCCACCUUUCCUGAACAAAGACCUGUCACAGUUUCCUCCAAUGGAAGAUAACAACAACUUCAAACUAAUCGAACCAGAACAAGAUGUCGAGGUUCGACCGGAAGUUAAUGUCUGUGCUACCCAAGUGAGCUUCAAACAUCUCAGCCCACACCGCUUUGAAAGAUUCUCAUCGUGGAAACAUCUAAUAAGAGGCAUGGCAAAACUCAUUGCAGUCAUCAGAAACAAAUCCAAAACUGCAGACAAAAAAAGUACAAAUCUACAAACUCAAGCAAAACUGUCAGUCAUUGCAAGUGUUCAACAAAAUGCAUUCAAAGAGGAAAUGACAAAGCUUAAAAAAGGAGAGCAUAUCGCAAAAACAAGUCCCUUGUGGAAUUUAAACUCAUUCAUAGACUCAGAAGGACUGUUAAGAGUGGGAGGUCGAACAUCUCUUGCCAAUCUUCCAUAUGAUGAAAAGCACCCACUGAUACUCCCUAAAAGGCAUCAUGUGUCAACUUUGCUUGUGAGAUAUUACCACCAAGAUGUCGCUCAUCAAGGUCGUCACCUCACCGAGGGAGCACUUCGAUCUGCAGGUGUCUGGAUAAUUGGCGCAAGAAAACUUGUCUCAAGUGUCAUUUAUCAAUGUGUCACAUGUCGCAAACUUAGGGGUAAGCCUGCUGAACAGAAAAUGGCCAACUUGCCCGAAGACCGUCUUACAAUGGAGCCUCCUUUCACAAGGGUAGGUCUAGAUGUUUUUGGGCCCUGGACUGUUGUCACCCGCAAAACAAGAGGCGGUAGCGCUGACAGCAAACGUUGGGCAGUUUUGUUCAGCUGUCUGGGCACCCGCGCAGUUCACAUAGAAGUCAUAGAAUCUAUGUCUACAUCAAGUUUUAUUAAUGCAUUACGAGGGUUUUUCGCAGUCAGGGGUCCUGCCAAAGUUUUGAGGUCAGACCGUGGCACUAACUUUAUAGGUGCUUGUAAAGAGUUGAAAAUAAGCACCGAUGACUCUGAGAUUCAAGAUUACUUGAGCAAAGAAGGCUGCACAUGGACUUUCAACACACCUUAUUCAUCGCAUAUGGGAGGCUCAUGGGAAAGAAUGAUAGGCAUCGCCCGUCGCAUUCUUGAUGCCAUGCUAUUGCAAGCAGGUCCUACUCGCCUCACACACGAAGUUCUGACAACGCUCAUGUCAGAAGUUAUGGCUAUCAUGAAUUGCCGACCAUUAGUUCCCAUCACCACGGAUUCAGAGACACCAACAGUUUUGACGCCAUCCAUGCUCCUAACCCAAAAGAAAGGUGCUGCUCCUGCUCCAGAAGGUACGUUCGACAUCAAGGACAUGUACAAAAAGCAAUGGAAGCAUGUUCAAAGUCUUGCAGAUGCCUUUUGGAAACGCUGGAGACAAGAAUAUCUGACAGCUCUUCAAGUAAGAAAGAAAUGGACUCAGGACAAGGACAAUAUCUCAGAAGGAGAUGUCGUCUUAGUUAAAGAUGAACUACUGAAACGCAACGAAUGGCCCAUCGGACUCAUUACAAAGUGCAUCCCAAGCGAAGACAAAAGAAUCCGAAAAGUGGAAGUACGAGUUGUCAAGCAAGGGACUCCGCGUGUCUAUUUGCGACCGAUAAACCAACUGAUUUUGUUACUCCCUCGUCAUAGUGAAACAAAAAAGACUGAUUAAGUUUAUACAUUUAGUGGUAUAAAGUAUUUAUACCAGACGGGGAGUGUGAUGGUUUGUUCAAUUGUAUUUGUCAAAUAAUGACCUCUGGUGGCGGCUUUGGGUGUAGUUGAAUUCCUGCCUUUCUUUUCCUAUGAAGCAGACGUGUCUAACAAUGCUAAAGGACAGCUACGUUCUGGUUCGACCCACAUGAGGCUUUUUACGAAUUCAUCAAGAGUGAGGAAGUAAAGACUUCAAAAUCCACUUUUGCCUCGUUGUGCUGUCUGUCUAGCUAAACAGGCUCACGUUUAGUGAGGACAGAACACUUUUCAUUGCCUCAAAAAUACUUUUUGCAUGUAUUACCCUCUCAUACUUUUAACCAUUGUGGUUUUUUGUGUUAGCUUUGAAGCAGUUGACCACAUUAGUCACGUAGCGUAUUUAAACCGUCCUUAUUUGGUAUAACUGCAUUUACUUAUUUUCUGAUGGUAUUUUUAGUACGUUCUGCCUGUAUGCAUCCAAACAAAACAAGUUUAGCACGCACGGUAGUACUUUGGGUGUCAAAUUCGACUAAUGUAGCACGUUUCGCCGAUGUAGCAGAUUUUGGCAGAACACCGUCUUUUAACAGAUGAGGCAUAGUGGUCCUGUGCUGCCGCCAGGUAAAAUGAACAAAAAUGUGUUGGUCUACUCCUCCUUAAACACUCCGUUUUCUGCAUCAAUCUUGCGUAGUUUUGAGCACGGCAUUUGCUGUACCUUUUCGCCUCUUCCUCCAACUUCAUUCGGCUCAGUUUUUGGCUGUCACUCCGCGGAGUCUGGAAAGCGAGUGUGAGACAUGCUGUUCUAAAAAUAACUUUCAAAUGCUUCACUCCCAUUGGCUGGCUCACGCGUGUCACCGCUAAGGUUUUUGUUUGUUGCCCACCUCCGCUCUGCAAACCCGCAGAAAAAAAUGAUUUUUGUUGUUGCAACAUGUAUUAGUCCGGACAACUUGAGAUCCGGUCCAGACGGCUUGGAGGUCCGGAACCGGACCGAGGUCCGCGGUUCUAUGACCUCUGAUAAAGACAGUUAUUGAUAUGCAGUGCUAAACAGAAGCGUUUUUAGCCCUGAUUUAAAGGAGCUAACAGUUUGAGCAUACUUCAGACGUUCAGGUAACUUGUUCCAGAGGUGAGGAGGAGACCGUGCAGGAGACCGGUUGCAGACGACCUUAGGGGUCUAGAUGUCUCAUAGGAAUCUAACAAUCUAACCAAGGUCAUUAAGUGUUUUGUAGAUGAGCAGUAGUAUUUUAUAGUCUAUCCUUUGACUUACUGGAAGCCAGUGUAAUGUGGUCCAUCGUCCAUGUAUUUGUGAGGACUCUGGCUGCAGCAUUCUCUACUAGCUGCAGCUUCCUGACUGAUUUUUUAUCAAGACCCGUAAAUAUCCCGUUGCAAUAGUCCAAUCUGCUGAAGAAUAAAGUGUACUUGCACAUCCACUCAGUGGGUGGCAGUGGCGCUCUCAUUUUCAGAGUGCGUGCAGUAUUUUUUUACCUAGGCAAGACCACACAGAAAACGGAUAUGAAGAGCUGUGCGCCGUUUUCAAAAGCCGUUUGCCGGCCGGACUCACACAGCAACCCACUGUUUACUCCAGUUCUCACGUGUCCGCCCGAGAAGUGCCAUUUUCGGCUAGGGAUCGUCAAGAUGACUGCCCUCACCUACGGUUCUCCCUUGGCCGCCGAGAAUGCGUUUUUUUUUCGGGCCGUUUGCCUUUUGGUUUUGACUUUUAAUACAGUGGGAGAUGAGGAAAGACCACUGUUUACUGUGUCUAAAAAUGAUUAUAGCGGACAGCCGGAAGCCAAAUCAAUUUAGACGCCACUUAAAGACAUUAGACCUCAAUCUCAUUGAUAAGCCGCUUGAUUGUUUUUCAGCGAAAACGUGCCGAAUUUUGCCAACAAUCGUCCCGCUUUGUCAGUGUUAUAUCAGUAAACCACUGAGCACUGUUAGCAUGCUCAGUGAAAAUAACCCCACACCAUUGCAAAGGAAGUGAAACUGUGAGCAGCGAAAAUAAAAACUGUCCUUCUGUCCAAAGACACUUUUUUUUUUUUUCUUCUAUUCAGUUUUGUUUUUUCAGCCAAAUAUUUUGGCAUAUUGUCCUCAUUAGUUAAUGUUUUUAAUCAAUUUGAAUUUGUUAGUAUUUACUUAUUUUGUUACAUUUUAUCUUUCAGUAUCAAAUGGUCAAAAAUGUACCUUGAGUGUAUUUUUACAGUUUGGAUGUGACUUUUUUUUUUUUUAAUUCAGGCAAAUUGAUGCGUGUUAAGUCUUCUGUUACAAACAAAACAAUGUUAAUAAAGUUAUACUUUAUUAUAAGGAUCUAUGUUACUUUUUUUCUUUAAUAGAAAAAAAGGACACAAUGUUUGGCAGAGGCGUACUUAUAGUAAUAUUAUAGACAAAUGAUACU